UACGGAGGGAGCUAGCGUUGUUCGGAAUUACUGGGCGUAAAGCGCGCGUAGGCGGCUUUGUAAGUUAGAGGUGAAAGCCCGGGGCUCAACUCCGGAACUGCCUUUAAGACUGCAUCGCUUGAAUCCAGGAGAGGUGAGUGGAAUUCCGAGUGUAGAGGUGAAAUUCGUAGAUAUUCGCAAGAACACCAGUGGCGAAGGCGGCUCACUGGCCCGGUACUGACGCUGAGGUGCGAAAGCGUGGGGAGCAAACAGG
RNAcentral lists this ribosomal RNA (253 nucleotides) under uncultured bacterium. Its description in RNAcentral is "partial 16S ribosomal RNA". It matches the Rfam family "Bacterial small subunit ribosomal RNA", at positions 524 to 776 of the family's 1533-position model. The record is from RNAcentral.